AGAGUUUGAUCCUGGCUCACGGAUCAACGCUGGCGGCGUGCCUAAUGCAUGCAAGUCGGCACGGGGUGGUCUUCGGACCGCUUACGUGGCGGACGGGUGAGGGAACACGUGGGCAACCUGCCCGGUGUGGGGGGCUAGCCUUCGGAAACGGAGGGUAAAUUCCGCAUAAGCUGGCCGAUCGAUGGGGUUGGUCAGGAAAGCCGUAAGGCGCCGCCGAGGGGUCUGCAUCCGAUUAGUUAGUUGGUGGGGUAACGGCUCACCAAGGCGAUGAUCGGUAGCUGGUUUGAGAGGAUGAUCAGCCACACGGGGACUGAGACACGGCCCCGACUCCUACGGGAGGCAGCAGCAAGGAAUUUUCCGCAAUGGGCGCAAGCCUGACGGAGCAACGCCGCGUGCGGGAUGACGCUUUUCGGAGUGUAAACCGCUGUUCGUGGGGACGAAGCACUGACGGUACCCACGGAGGAAGGCCCCGGCUAACUACGUG
Molecule: ribosomal RNA, 484 nt
Filed under: uncultured Thermomicrobia bacterium
Lineage: Bacteria; Pseudomonadati; Thermomicrobiota; Thermomicrobia
Description: bacterial SSU rRNA
Rfam family: Bacterial small subunit ribosomal RNA
Source: RNAcentral